This 329-nucleotide ribosomal RNA is filed under the name uncultured eukaryote. Its description in RNAcentral is "partial 18S ribosomal RNA". It matches the Rfam family "Eukaryotic small subunit ribosomal RNA", at positions 1470 to 1796 of the family's 1831-position model. The record is from RNAcentral.
CCCUUAGAUGUUCUGGGCCGCACGCGCGCUACACUGACGAUGGCAACGAGUUUUUCCUUCGCCGAAAGGUGUGGGUUAUCUUUUGAAACAUCGUCGUGCUGGGGAUAGAUCAUUGCAAUUUUUGAUCUUGAACGAGGAAUUCCUAGUAAGCGCGAGUCAUCAGCUCGCGUUGAUUACGUCCCUGCCCUUUGUACACACCGCCCGUCGCUACUACCGAUUGAAUGGUUUAGUGAGGACUCCUGAUUGGCGCCGCCGCCCCGGCAACGGAGCAGCGGACUGCCGAAAAGUUGUUCAAACUUGAUCAUUUAGAGGAAGUAAAAGUCGUAACA